Molecule: ribosomal RNA, 253 nt
Filed under: uncultured bacterium
Lineage: Bacteria
Description: partial 16S ribosomal RNA
Rfam family: Bacterial small subunit ribosomal RNA
Source: RNAcentral
UACGAAGGGGGCGAGCGUUGUUCGGAAUUACUGGGCGUAAAGGGCGCGUAGGCGGCCGAUCAAGUCAGAUGUGAAAGUCCUGGGCUUAACCUGGGGACUGCAUUUGAUACUGAUUGGCUUGAAUGCAGGAGAGGAUAGCGGAAUUCCCAGUGUAGAGGUGAAAUUCGUAGAUAUUGGGAAGAACACCGGUGGCGAAGGCGGCUCACUGGACCGGUUCUGACGCUGAGGCGCGAAAGCGUGGGGAGCAAACGGG